This 650-nucleotide ribosomal RNA is filed under the name Roseobacter sp. OFEM31. Its description in RNAcentral is "bacterial SSU rRNA". It matches the Rfam family "Bacterial small subunit ribosomal RNA", at positions 100 to 785 of the family's 1533-position model. The record is from RNAcentral. Lineage: Bacteria; Pseudomonadati; Pseudomonadota; Alphaproteobacteria; Rhodobacterales; Roseobacteraceae.
GGACGGGUUAGUAACGCGUGGGAACGUACCCUUUUCUACGGAAUAGCCAUUGGAAACGAUGAGUAAUACCGUAUACGCCCUUCGGGGGAAAGAUUUAUCGGAGAAGGAUCGGCCCGCGUUAGAUUAGAUAGUUGGUGGGGUAAUGGCCUACCAAGUCUACGAUCUAUAGCUGGUUUUAGAGGAUGAUCAGCAACACUGGGACUGAGACACGGCCCAGACUCCUACGGGAGGCAGCAGUGGGGAAUCUUAGACAAUGGGCGCAAGCCUGAUCUAGCCAUGCCGCGUGAGUGAUGAAGGCCUUAGGGUCGUAAAGCUCUUUCGCCAGGGAUGAUAAUGACAGUACCUGGUAAAGAAACCCCGGCUAACUCCGUGCCAGCAGCCGCGGUAAUACGGAGGGGGUUAGCGUUGUUCGGAAUUACUGGGCGUAAAGCGUACGUAGGCGGAUUAGAAAGUUAGGGGUGAAAUCCCAGGGCUCAACCCUGGAACUGCCUCUAAAACUACUAGUCUAGAGUUCGAGAGAGGUGAGUGGAACUCCGAGUGUAGAGGUGAAAUUCGUAGAUAUUCGGAAGAACACCAGUGGCGAAGGCGGCUCACUGGCUCGAUACUGACGCUGAGGUACGAAAGUGUGGGGAGCAAACAGGAUUAGAUAC